UAGUUAAUCAUAAGUUCAUUAAAAAAGUGUGAAGAACAAACCAGGAACGACUUGAUAAUUGAUCAUUUGUGCCUCAUACUGAGUAGUUACUCAGUAGUCCCUCAUUACUUCAUCAUUACUUUAUGAUUACUUUGUGGCCCUUCAAGCCUGGGUCACUUCUCCUGGGAAGGGAUCACAGGAACCACCUUUAUGAUAUGAUUCACCUCUACACAAGCUCAGGCUCAUUCCGUCCUAGACUGCUUGCUGUGAAGCCUUAUGCUCAGGUCCGUCUGCCAUAAAGACUUAAUUUUCAAAAGUGACAGAGAAAUUGGCGUUCUUCUCCUUAGAGAACCUGUCCCGGUGCCUGCAUGCAUCAGUAUGCACUGUGUGGGCGGCUGUCAACAGUGAACAUUCAGACCAACCCAGCUUUGGGAGUAGGCGUGUAUAUGUGACUGUUAGCCUAAACUCCUUAUGUCUGCCUAGUAAACUCAAGUGUUUCUGCUUUUCUGACAAUUUUGCAGAAACAAUAAGCAACCAGUAACCACUGGCUGCAGGUCUUGUUGACAUCAAAUCUGUUUUGCAUAUGAAGAAUAAAAACUUUGCU
Molecule: long non-coding RNA, 583 nt
Filed under: Dicentrarchus labrax (European seabass)
Lineage: Eukaryota; Metazoa; Chordata; Actinopteri; Moronidae
Description: lncRNA (ENSDLAG00005028526.1)
Source: RNAcentral